RNAcentral lists this ribosomal RNA (1318 nucleotides) under metagenome. Its description in RNAcentral is "bacterial LSU rRNA". It matches the Rfam family "Bacterial large subunit ribosomal RNA", at positions 1589 to 2925 of the family's 2925-position model. The record is from RNAcentral.
AGCGUCUGAGUUCACGCUGGCGAGAAAAGCUGCUAAGGAGAGUGUGAGUGCCCGUACCGGAAACCGACGCAGGUGGGCGAGGAGAGAAUCCUGAGACGGACGGGAGAACUCUUGUUAAGGAACUCGGCAAAAUGACCCCGUAACUUCGGGAAAGGGGUGCCUCGAAAGAGGCCGCAGAGAAUAGUCACAAGCGACUGUUUAGCAAAAACACAGGUAUCUGCGAAAGCGAGAGCUGACGUAUAGGUGCUGACGCCUGCCCGGUGCUGGAAGGUUAAGGGGAAGUGUUAGGGGAAACCCGAAGCAGAGAACCGAAGCCCCAGUAAACGGCGGCCGUAACGAUAACGGUCCUAAGGUAGCGAAAUUCCUUGUCGGGUAAGUUCCGACCCGCACGAAUGGCGUAACGACUUGUGAGCUGUCUCAACAGGAGGCCCGGUGAAAUUGAAGUAUGUGUGAAGAUGCACAUUACCCGCGACUGGACGGAAAGACCCCGUAGAGCUUUACUGUAACCUGACAUUGGAUCUUGAUAACGGAUGCACAGGAUAGGUGGGACGCUGGGAGGUAUGGACUUUGGUCUGUACGGAGCGGACGUUGGGAUACCACUCUUCUGUUAUUGAGAUUCUAACCUCAAGCCGUAAGCCGGAUGAGAGACAGUGUCAGGCGGACAGUUUGACUGGGGCGGUCGCCUCCGAAAGAGUAACGGAGGCGCCCAAAGGUACCCUCAGAAUGGAUGGAAACCAUUCGAAGAGAGCAAAGUCAGAAGGGUGCUUGACUGCGAGACCAACAAGUCGAGCAGGUACGAAAGUAGGGCUUAGUGAUCCGGCGGUAAGAGAGUGGAAUUGCCGUCGCUCAACGGAUAAAAGCUACCUCGGGGAUAACAGGCUGAUCUCCCCCAAGAGUUCACAUCGACGGGGAGGUUUGGCACCUCGAUGUCGGCUCGUCGCAUCCUGGGGCUGAAGCAGGUCCCAAGGGUUUGGCUGUUCGCCAAUUAAAGCGGCACGCGAGCUGGGUUCAGAACGUCGUGAGACAGUUCGGCCCCUAUCCAUCGUGGGCGAAGGACACAUGAGAGGAGCUGCUCCUAGUACGAGAGGACCGGAGUGGACGCAUCACUGGUGCAACUGUUGUCGUGCCAACGGCACAGCAGGGAAGCGAAAUGCGGAUGGGAUAAACGCUGAAGGCAUCUAAGCGUGAAGCCCACCUCAAGAAUAAGUGUCCCAUUCGAAAGAAGUAAGACCCCUGGAGGACUACCAGGUGAUAGGUCAUCGGUGAAAGAGCGGUAACGUUUGGAGCUUGAUGAUACUAAUCGGUCGAGGACUUGAUU